AGAACGAACGCUGGCGGCAGGCUUAACACAUGCAAGUCGAGCGCCCCGCAAGGGGAGCGGCAGACGGGUGAGUAACGCGUGGGGAUAUGCCCAAAGGUGCGGAAUAACUCAGGGAAACUUGAGCUAAUACCGCAUGUGCCCGAAAGGGGAAAGAUUUAUCGCCUUUGGAUUAACCCGCGUCAGAUUAGCUAGUUGGUGAGGUAAUGGCUCACCAAGGCGACGAUCUGUAGCUGGUCUGAGAGGAUGACCAGCCACACUGGGACUGAGACACGGCCCAGACUCCUACGGGAGGCAGCAGUGGGGAAUAUUGGACAAUGGGCGCAAGCCUGAUCCAGCCAUGCCGCGUGAGUGAUGAAGGCCUUAGGGUUGUAAGCUCUUUCGACGGGACGAUAAUGACGGUACCCGUAGAAGACGCCCGGCUAACUUCGUGCCAGCAGCCGC
Molecule: ribosomal RNA, 441 nt
Filed under: uncultured bacterium
Lineage: Bacteria
Description: SSU rRNA
Rfam family: Bacterial small subunit ribosomal RNA
Source: RNAcentral